AGCUCCAAUAGCGUAUAUUAAAGUUGUUGUGGUUAAAAAGCUCGUAGUUGGAUCUCAACAGCCUUGAAGCGGUUAACUUUGUAGUUUUACUGCUUUAUAGGCUGUGCUUUUGCUGGAGGUUUAGGGGUGCUCUUGAUCGAGUGUCUCUGGAUGCCAGCAGGUUUACUUUGAAAAAAUUAGAGUGCUCAAAGCAGGCUAAAAUGCCUGAAUAUUCGUGCAUGGAAUAAUAGAAUAGGAUGUCGAUCCUAUUUUGUCGGUUUUCGGGACUCGACAUAAUGAUAAAUAGGGACAGUCGGGGGCAUUUGUAUUCAAACGACAGAGGUGAAAUUCUUGGACCGUUUGAAGACAAACUACUGCGAAAGCAUUUGCCAAGAAUGUUUUCAUUAAUCAAGAACGAAAG
RNAcentral lists this ribosomal RNA (400 nucleotides) under phytoplankton environmental sample. RNAcentral describes it as "partial small subunit ribosomal RNA". It matches the Rfam family "Eukaryotic small subunit ribosomal RNA", at positions 587 to 989 of the family's 1831-position model. The record is from RNAcentral.